Molecule: non-coding RNA, 1573 nt
Organism: Erythranthe guttata (spotted monkey flower)
Lineage: Eukaryota; Viridiplantae; Streptophyta; Magnoliopsida; Lamiales; Phrymaceae
Source: RefSeq, a predicted model, not a curated record
UGAAUUAUGGGUAAUUAGGUUUUGAUUCAAGUUUAGGGUAGCAUUUGUGAAGGAUUUUGAUGUAACUUUUCUUUAAUCGGAGCAUAAUUUCGGUUCGAAAUUGAAUAAGAGCUGCGAAUUAUCUUCGACAGGUGCGAAAACGAAAAACGGUUCUACCGAAUCUGAAGAUCCAUGGAAAAUCCAAUCAUGAAACAGGGACAAAGCUCUACUCAUUUCACACAUUGCAAUUGUGGGGAAUACUGCACAAAGUACGUACGUGUAAAUUACUAGAUUCCGACAUUAAUUCUUAUCGCUUCUGAUUAAACAAAGUAUGUGUAACUGUUUAUUAAUUUGUUCUCCUCUGUAGAUUUUGUGUAUGUGUUGCCUAUGAUAAAUUCUGCGGGGAAUCUUGUCCUUGCAAAGAUUGCUGGAACACUCCGCGAAACAUAGUCGAAGUUCUCAGACGAAGGAUCGAAACUCAGAAUAUGAUUCAUCAGUCCCUCGAGAGAAAAUGUGCAGAGUUUGCAGUCGAAAUCGCAUCAAGCAAUGAAGACAACAAGAAGACUGAAAGCGAUGCCUUAGUGUCGGAAGAUAGUUCUGAUGAUAAUAAUAACACUGCUUCGUCUAAUUCGUUAUUCGAAUCUCCCACCAAACGUGCCAAGACAUCUGCGAGUUCUAUUGGAGUGCUGGUGCAGUGUGGUUGCGAUUGUAAGGAGAAUCAUUGUCUGGGAUUUUGGUGUACUUGUUUUCGUACUAAGGAGUUCUGUUCGAAAAAAUGUACUUGUCGAGAAUGCUGUAACAAUGAGAAACAUAAGGAGAAGGUUAUGAUACCACGUGCUAUAAAACAAGAAGAGAUCUGCAGUUCUAGUGGAGUGCAGUGUGCUUGCGAUUGUAAGGAGAAUCAUUGUCUGGGAUUUUGGUGUACUUGUUUUCGUACUAAGGAGUUCUGUUCGAAAAAAUGUACUUGUCGAGAAUGCUGUAACAAUGAGAAACAUAAGGAGAAGGUUAUGAUGUCACGUGCUAUAAAACAAGAAGAGAUCUGCAGUUGCAAGACUGGUUUAUGUACCACAGAUCUCUGUUACUGCCACGCCGUACGUUUUUUUUUUUCGUUUUUUUCCGUUUUCGAUUGGUUUGCUCUGCUUUUUAUUUUCGUGAAACGAUUCUUAUUGAAUGAAACCUUUUUUUCUUUUUUUGGGGGAUAAGUACAAACGAGGUUGCUGGGAGGACUGUGACUGUGAAGGAUGUAGCAAUAUCUAUGGUUCUAAACCGAAAUGAAGUAUGACUGUGUCGGUGAAAAAUCGAAGAGCUGCCCGUAGUUGAAGAAUCGAAGAGCUGUUUCGGAAGUUGAAGAAUUUUACGCGUAAUCUUGUGCAUUAAACAGAUUUAGUUGUGUGUAAAUUUGUUGUUUCAUAAACUUUAGUGAAUUGCUGCUAAGUAUAGUGAAUGUUCAUAAACUACUGCUGAGUCAUGAUCAUUAGUUCUAUUGGAUUAACUGUUCUUCCAAGUUUCAAGGGAAAAUAAUCACAAAAAAUAACAUGUCUUUCUAAAUAAUUUAUAACUAUAUCAAUAUUAUUGUUUAUUGUUAUUAUAUGUU